This is a long non-coding RNA of Hemicordylus capensis (graceful crag lizard), 2283 nucleotides long. RefSeq lists it as uncharacterized. NCBI's taxonomy places the organism in Eukaryota, Metazoa, Chordata, Lepidosauria, Squamata, Cordylidae. The record is from RefSeq and is a predicted model, not a curated record. The transcript is spliced from 3 exons.
UUUGAUUGUUUUAAUUGGAUGGCUUAGGAAAUGGUUGGGCCAGAGAAACUGUAUAUAUUGGGAGGGUUUUGAGAGGGUGGUCAGUGAAGUCAGAAUCCUGAGAGACAGAGUCCUGGAAGGAGAGAUCAAGAGAGUCAGCUGGAGAGAGUUUUGGAAGCCAGAGAAGUCAAGUCAGCUGGAGAGAGUCAUUGCUGAAGGUUGAAGAAGACCAUCAACCUUCUGGUCCUGGAAGUCAGUUUGCUGGAGGGAGAAACUCAGCUGAAAUCACGAAGAAGAGGAGGAGGAGGAGGAGCCAGGCUGGAUUGAGCCCCAGACCUGUGCUGUAAUCAGAACCACUCAGCAAGCCAGAAGCUGACAAAGCACAGAAGCACUCUUGAGUAGGAAACAGCAUAGAGUCAGAUGAGUGAAAUGCUUUUGAAAGGCAAGAUUUGUAAAGAAUGCACACCCUCAGAAUGCCAACCACCAUACAAGAUCAUCCACAGAAUUAGUAUUUCAAUUUUCUGCUAAAAGGUGCAACUGCAGAAAUGCCAGCAUUUUUACAUCUAUGGGGUGCACUUCCAUAAACAACAAGUCCCUGCACAGUGUGCAAUCAAGACUCGUCCAGUUGGACCGGCAAGCACAAGAGCCUUUGUUCCUGUCAAUAGGAGAUGAUAUACAAUUUUCUCCAUAAUCCAAUUUCAAAUGGUACAAGCAAGACUGCAAUUUGUUAUAGAUGUACACAAACUCAUGCAUGUGUACUCAAAUGCAAAUUGCAUCACAUUCAAUUGGACUUUAUCCCUAGUCACCACAGAGCAGACUGCAGCCUUACAAUCAACCAACACACGUGUUUAUUAGUUAAAGCAGUAAAGCCCAGUAAUUUAAUUGUUAGGGACAAGAUGGAAGGGCACAUUCAACUUUUAAAGCUAUUGCAGCUCUAGUUUAUUAUAAACCAAGAAUAAAAGCGGGUGGGGGAAAUAGGUGAACUUUUCCUUCCAACAGUGAGCAACAGCAUUCCCUAAAUUUUAAAUUUGUGCAACUUACUUCCAAUAGUCCCCAAACCCCCCACAUGAAGCCGUCAAAGCCAGAUCAGCAAGCUACAAAUUUGGGCUGCCAUUCGGCAACCCUGGGUAUAAGACAUGAAGCUUACGUGGCUCUCUCAGCUUUUCUUGUUUAUCUCCCAAAUCCUAAGAAACCUGGGGGUUUCCUAGAGGUCCCCAGUUACUAAUUGUCUGCAAGUGAAGCAACACUUCCCUGCUGUCAGGAUGGAAGAUUAGAUAGUACUGAGGAUAAAGGAAGUAAAAGUUGAUGCAGACCAUCUGUAUGCAGUCUGAGCACUCCUAUGCAAAACUGUUAUUUUGGCAAUUUCUCUUUCCACACAUUAGAAAUAAGUGUGGAAGUCUAGGGCUGUGGAAAUAUUACACUGGGCAGCAUCCAAACUAAGACUUGCAGGAGCAGAAUGCUUCCUCUCACACCCAGGGGAACGUUAAUUUUCACCAAUCCUCCUAUUCUUCUGCAGCCCCCUGUGCCCACCAAAAAAGUAUCCCCAGGAACUGAGCCCUGAGACAUAUUGUCUGCAGGCAGAGGAACUUGGGGGGGGGGAGAGGAUAUGAGGGGAAAAAUUACCUCUCCCCCAGCACACGUGUUCCACUUGCACAGGCUUUGGUAUGCUGUGUGUUGUACAGAUAUCUGUAGUCAUGUUUUCAUGUGAAUGCUUAUGUGUUCUUUAGAAAUCAGCAUGGGAACUGGACUCCAUAAAUUACUUGUUCUGUACACACUGACUAAUGUGUCAACUGUGUGUGUAUACAAUAAUGUGUACACUGAUAAUUUAUUAGUUCCUUUGACAUGUUAAGAAGAUUUGGGGUGGGGUGAGGUAAAGUAUGGUAGGUCUUUCCCAAAGAAAGUUCUUGUAUAAAGGCUGGAUAACCAGUCCCUGCUCAGACACCCUUUGAAAGGCAGUGUCAUGUAGUAAAGAGAUCAAGGAUGAAAUCCCCUACAUGUCACAGGGAGAGGGGCAAGUAAAGUUAUGGUGGUGGCAUGUCCCUACUCCAACAAGCUCUAGCCAGCGAAGUGAAGAACGAAUUAGAAGAACAUUGGUGCAGUUAUGGUCUCACCACACUUUAUGAAGGAGAGAGGAUAGGCAGCAUCUUCAUGUGUGGUGUCAGCCAAUCAGUCAUUUUCACCCUAGCCUACUUGAUGGGGUGGUUUUGGGGGUGCAGGGUAAUAGCUCCCGUGUAUGACAUUCUGAGCUCUUCAAAGGGAAGACAAAAUUUAGGAAGAGGACAGAAAUCUAGUGUAUCAGCUAUA